RNAcentral lists this ribosomal RNA (112 nucleotides) under Thermoflexibacter ruber. The record is from RNAcentral. Lineage: Bacteria; Pseudomonadati; Bacteroidota; Cytophagia; Cytophagales; Thermoflexibacteraceae.
UAUGGUGGUUAUAGUGCGGGUGUUCACCUCUUCCCAUUCCGAACAGAGAAGUUAAGCCCCGUAACGCCGAUGGUACUGCGGUAACACGUGGAAGAGUAGGUAGCCGCCAAAU